Molecule: long non-coding RNA, 425 nt
Organism: Callithrix jacchus (white-tufted-ear marmoset)
Lineage: Eukaryota; Metazoa; Chordata; Mammalia; Primates; Cebidae
Source: Ensembl
GGCUCAUUUUCAAGAAAUAAUUGCAAUGUGUAUAAUUAUAAGAGGAGAUUCUAAUAUGUCACUUAGAAAUCAAUAGAUACAGAGACUCAACAAGGAAAGAAGACUUCAGGUGUGUUUGUUUUGGACAUGGCAGGAGAGAAGAGGCAAGCCUCAAAAUGGCCCAGUUAUAUUCAGGAUCCAAUCAAAAAGAAGAAGGAAGCAUUCCCAGACUGUGUGCUUUCCUACGGGUGAACCAGGGUCUGGUGAAUAUCAGCACUGGGACCAGUUAACAGAGGAAAAGGGAAGAAUAAAAGGGAAAAGAAUGAAGAGCCAUAUGAUUACCAACUUCCUUUUUCAUAUAAAUGAAGUAUGUAUGGGGUAUGGGUCUGGAACAAACUGAAUUUCCAUCAAGUCCUGGCUAACCACAUUAUGUCUUAUGAAUCCUU